UGGAUCUGCAGGUUGCAAGGGACAGCUGGU
Molecule: non-coding RNA, 30 nt
Filed under: Mus musculus (house mouse)
Lineage: Eukaryota; Metazoa; Chordata; Mammalia; Rodentia; Muridae
Source: RNAcentral